RNAcentral lists this unclassified non-coding RNA (1015 nucleotides) under Hevea brasiliensis (rubber tree). Lineage: Eukaryota; Viridiplantae; Streptophyta; Magnoliopsida; Malpighiales; Euphorbiaceae. The record is from RNAcentral.
AAAAAAAAAAAAAAAAAAACACUACAAAUAUGAUAUGAGGAGUAUAUUGUGAUGCAUGACUAGAUUAGAAAAGGAGACUGCAGCAUAGAAAGAAGGGAGAAAUUGCAAAAUAGGAGAGAGACAUGGAAGAAAGAAUAUUAGAGGCAGGAAACUAGAAGGAAAUUAAUUCUCUUAUUGAAACCAAAAAGUACUAAUUAGUAUCAAACACUGGAUAAAACCUCUUUGAAAAUGAUUAAAAACUCAACCCUAAUAUAGAUUUUUUUUUUUCCUUUUUUUGGCUUAAGAAGUUGGAUUUCUUGGAAAGUUAAUACAAGCAUUGUUUGUUUUACCAAGAAAUAAGAAGUUAAAGGGAAGCUGGACUUUUUGAGCUCUCAACUUCUUAAAUCUUAUGGAAGUAUACUAAGGGGUCAAUAGGUAAACUUCAUUAGUGGAUGCGAGAUAAUUACUGAAGUAAUUUUCAGUUACUAUUAUAAAAUAAUUUUCUACACAGAUGAUAAGGAUGUUAUUGCAUUUUCUAGUAAAUUUCCCAAAAUGUCGAUGAAUGAAUCUGGCAAGAAAUUAGUGCACUUCGUAGGAAAAGGUAUGUAAAUCAAGCAAUUCGAGCAAAUUCGAACAUUAUUAUACUUUCAUACUAAACAGCUUUCACCUCAUGCCCCUUCUUAGAAUAAUUCCUAAUAAGUAGUGAUUAACAACUAAAGCAAUUGGCCUUCUAAUGAUUGUAUUAUUGAUCAAUAUCAAACAAUUGAUGAGUUCUAGAUUUCAAUUUACUGAGGCAGGAGUUAAGGGUAAGAGUUUGAAACAAAGCUGAUUGCAGUGAGAAAAAGAAUGAUGCAGACAUGGUGUCUAGAAGAGCUGAAUGGCAAAAAAUGAUUCAUACAGCCGAUCUCAACUAAUUUGGCAUUUAAGGCUUAGUUGUUGUUGAUGGAUAGUGAGAAAAAGAAGAGAAAUAGGCAGCUGUAUUUGAAGUUGUGAAUAGUAUUUGUGGUAUUGUAGUAAGAGAGAGAGAGAGAGAGAG